This 496-nucleotide ribosomal RNA is filed under the name uncultured bacterium. RNAcentral's name for it is "partial 16S ribosomal RNA". It matches the Rfam family "Bacterial small subunit ribosomal RNA", at positions 28 to 506 of the family's 1533-position model. The record is from RNAcentral.
GGUGAACGCUGGCGGCGUGCCUAAUACAUGCAAGUCGAGCGAACAGACGAGGAGCUUGCUCCUCUGACGUUAGCGGCGGACGGGUGAGUAACACGUGGAUAACCUACCUAUAAGACUGGGAUAACUUCGGGAAACCGGGGCUAAUACCGGAUAAUAUAUUGAACCGCAUGGUUCAAUAGUGAAAGACGGUUUUGCUGUCACUUAUAGAUGGAUCCGCGCCGCAUUAGCUAGUUGGUAAGGUAACGGCUUACCAAGGCAACGAUGCGUAGCCGACCUGAGAGGGUGAUCGGCCACACUGGAACUGAGACACGGUCCAGACUCCUACGGGAGGCAGCAGUAGGGAAUCUUCCGCAAUGGGCGAAAGCCUGACGGAGCAACGCCGCGUGAGUGAUGAAGGUCUUCGGAUCGUAAAACUCUGUUAUUAGGGAAGAACAAAUGUGUAAGUAACUAUGCACGUCUUGACGGUACCUAAUCAGAAAGCCACGGCUAACUACGU